Molecule: transfer RNA, 71 nt
Filed under: Camelus bactrianus (Bactrian camel)
Lineage: Eukaryota; Metazoa; Chordata; Mammalia; Artiodactyla; Camelidae
Also listed under: 2 other names
Rfam family: tRNA
About the family: Transfer RNA (tRNA) molecules are approximately 80 nucleotides in length. Their secondary structure includes four short double-helical elements and three loops (D, anti-codon, and T loops).
Source: Rfam by way of RNAcentral
GUGGGUGUAGCUCAGUUGUAAAGUAUAUGCUUAGCAUUCAGAAGUCCUGGGUUCAAUCCCCAGUACCUCCA